This 531-nucleotide ribosomal RNA is filed under the name Streptosporangium sandarakinum. Its description in RNAcentral is "bacterial SSU rRNA". It matches the Rfam family "Bacterial small subunit ribosomal RNA", at positions 372 to 918 of the family's 1533-position model. Lineage: Bacteria; Bacillati; Actinomycetota; Actinomycetes; Streptosporangiales; Streptosporangiaceae. The record is from RNAcentral.
UGGGCGGAAGCCUGACGCAGCGACGCCGCGUGGGGGAUGACGGCCUUCGGGUUGUAAACCUCUUUCAGCAGGGACGAAGUUGACGUGUACCUGCAGAAGAAGCGCCGGCUAACUACGUGCCAGCAGCCGCGGUAAUACGUAGGGCGCAAGCGUUGUCCGGAAUUAUUGGGCGUAAAGAGCUCGUANGUGGCUUGUCGCGUCGGAUGUGAAAGCUUGGGGCUUAACUCCAGGUCUGCAUUCGAUACGGGCAAGCUAGAGGUAGGCAGGGGAGAACGGAAUUCCUGGUGUAGCGGUGAAAUGCGCAGAUAUCAGGAGGAACACCGGUGGGGAAGGCGGUUCUCUGGGCCUUACCUGACGCUGAGGAGCGAAAGCGUGGGGAGCGAACAGGAUUAGAUACCCUGGUAGUCCACGCCGUAAACGUUGGGCGCUAGGUGUGGGGGCCUUCCACGGUUUCCGCGCCGUAGCUAACGCAUUAAGCGCCCCGCCUGGGGAGAACGGCCGCAAGGCUAAAACUCAAAGGAAUUGACGGGG